This 254-nucleotide ribosomal RNA is filed under the name uncultured bacterium. RNAcentral's name for it is "partial 16S ribosomal RNA". It matches the Rfam family "Bacterial small subunit ribosomal RNA", at positions 524 to 776 of the family's 1533-position model. The record is from RNAcentral.
UACGGGGGGCGCAAGCGUUGUUCGGAUUUACUGGGCGUAAAGGGCGCGUAGGCGGUCAGCACAAGUCAGUUGUGAAAUCUCCGGGCUUAACUCGGAAAGGUCAACUGAUACUGUGCGACUAGAGUGCAGAAGGGGCAACUGGAAUUCUCGGUGUAGCGGUGAAAUGCGUAGAUAUUGGGAGGAACACCGGUGGCGAAGGCGGCCCCCUGGACCGGUACUGACGCUGAGACGCGAAAGCGUGGGUAGCAAACGGG